Molecule: unclassified non-coding RNA, 281 nt
Organism: Callithrix jacchus (white-tufted-ear marmoset)
Lineage: Eukaryota; Metazoa; Chordata; Mammalia; Primates; Cebidae
Rfam family: Metazoan signal recognition particle RNA
About the family: The signal recognition particle (SRP) is a universally conserved ribonucleoprotein. It is involved in the co-translational targeting of proteins to membranes. The eukaryotic SRP consists of a 300-nucleotide 7S RNA and six proteins: SRPs 72, 68, 54, 19, 14, and 9.
Source: Ensembl
GCCAGGCGCGGUGGCGGGUGCCGGCAGCUACUCCGGAAGCUGAGGUGGGAGGAUCACUUGAGCCCAGGAGUUCUGGGCUGUAGUGCACUAUGCCGAUCGGGUGUCCCCACUAAGUUCGAUCUCCCGGGAGCGGGGGGGCCACCAGGUUGCCUAAGGAGGGGUGAACCGGCCCAGGUCAGAAACGGAGCCGGUCAAAUCUCCCAUGCUGAUCAGUCGUGGGAUCGUGCCUGUGAAUAACCACUGCACUCCAGCUUGGGCAACAGAGCCAGACCCUGUCUCUU